GGAUGUGAGGACGAUCUGGCUGCGACAUCUGUCACCCCAUUGAUCACCAGGGUUGGUUCAGCUGAUCUGGCCGGCUAGGUGGGUGUCCCCUUCCUCCUUCACGGCUCCAUGUGUAUCCCUCCAGAAGCUGCAGGUUCAGUCAAAGAGGACCGCCUUCCCCAACAGAGGAGGGCCAUUCUUUGCUCAAGGGCAUACGAGAAGCUGCGCUCCCUGCUAGAACCUCCAGGCAAGCUCUCAAGGCCCAUUUGUAGGAGAACGUAGGGCAGUCAGGUUUCCAAGACUCCAGACACAUGAGGCGCUGCAUGCGGCAGUCUGCUUUUCUUU
Unclassified non-coding RNA from Ursus americanus (American black bear), 324 nucleotides. Its record names the gene 7SK. It matches the Rfam family "7SK RNA". From Rfam's summary of the family: 7SK was discovered as an abundant small nuclear RNA in the mid-70s but a possible function has only recently been suggested. Two independent studies have found that 7SK RNA binds the CDK9/cyclin T complex (known as elongation factor P-TEFb). The record is from Ensembl. NCBI's taxonomy places the organism in Eukaryota, Metazoa, Chordata, Mammalia, Carnivora, Ursidae.